RNAcentral lists this ribosomal RNA (456 nucleotides) under Streptococcus mitis. Its description in RNAcentral is "bacterial SSU rRNA". It matches the Rfam family "Bacterial small subunit ribosomal RNA", at positions 28 to 471 of the family's 1533-position model. Lineage: Bacteria; Bacillati; Bacillota; Bacilli; Lactobacillales; Streptococcaceae. The record is from RNAcentral.
GACGAACGCUGGCGGCGUGCCUAAUACAUGCAAGUAGAACGCUGAAGGAGGAGCUUGCUUCUCCGGAUGAGUUGCGAACGGGUGAGUAACGCGUAGGUAACCUGCCUGGUAGCGGGGGAUAACUAUUGGAAACGAUAGCUAAUACCGCAUAAGAGUAGAUGUUGCAUGACAUUUGCUUAAAAGGUGCAAUUGCAUCACUACCAGAUGGACCUGCGUUGUAUUAGCUAGUUGGUGGGGUAACGGCUCACCAAGGCGACGAUACAUAGCCGACCUGAGAGGGUGAUCGGCCACACUGGGACUGAGACACGGCCCAGACUCCUACGGGAGGCAGCAGUAGGGAAUCUUCGGCAAUGGACGGAAGUCUGACCGAGCAACGCCGCGUGAGUGAAGAAGGUUUUCGGAUCGUAAAGCUCUGUUGUAAGAGAAGAACGAGUGUGAGAGUGGAAAGUCACACUG